CCGCCACGGUUUGUUGUUUUAACGUGGUCGGGGUGUGACAGAAGAGUUGGUAUCAGAGCCAAUGGAUAUUCAGAGGUACUACCUUAAAUCCUUAAUGGGCUUCUACGUGGUAGUUAAGACCCUUGGAUUAUAUAAGUGCCAUUUCAUAUUUUGAAAAAGACCCCUUGAGUGGUCUAGUUAAAGAUUGAUUCAACAUCUGGUCAGGAAUGAAAUGUGAUAUAGCUGGAAAGACUUCUAGGUAGUCUGUUUUAAAAGAUCAUUUAUUGAUCUACAGGACUCAAUGAUGGUCUGGUCACGCUCAUCACAGGUUCAUUCAUUUGGUUCUUCCCUACACAUUAUCAAAUACACUACGGGGACUAUGCAAGGAAUUACGUAAUUAUGGACGCGUACAUAAUUAUGAAAUUCAGUGCACAGAAACCACAGUAAGAUUUAUCAUGUGUAAGAACUGAUAGUGGCAACAAUGACGGAAUGUGAACGAUGUAAUGAGGUACGGUGGACGCACCAAUGACACUUCAUAUACUUGUAUAUAAGUGUCCCUCUUACAAAGCAAGCAUAAUGUUAUUAAAGUUACUAGAAGUUCAGAACCCAACCAGUAUUGUCUUAUAUUUCCGACUUCAUGUUUCGAGCUCUCACAAGUUUCCUCUGAUUAAAUUUCGGGACGAAAUUUCCUGAAGUAGGGGAGACUGUGACAUCUGUGCCUCCAAGACCAUCGAACAAAUAACAAACCAAUGA
Molecule: long non-coding RNA, 732 nt
Filed under: Helianthus annuus (common sunflower)
Lineage: Eukaryota; Viridiplantae; Streptophyta; Magnoliopsida; Asterales; Asteraceae
Source: RNAcentral